Molecule: long non-coding RNA, 3567 nt
Filed under: Homo sapiens (human)
Lineage: Eukaryota; Metazoa; Chordata; Mammalia; Primates; Hominidae
Description: HSALNT0044101
Source: RNAcentral
AAUCUUUCAGCUUUCCAUAGACCCCAUUUUCUCACCAGAAAUUAUGUUCUUUGGGUGGGGAAGCAUUCUUAUUUAAUCUACUAACCCAGACCAGAAUGUGAUAAGAAAUACUGUUACUCUUGUAAGAGUAAUAGAAAUGAAUAAAAAUGCAUUUUAAAAGGCACCUUCUGGAGCUGCAUUCACUUGAAUCAAAGGCUGACCCUGCAGGGUUGGCACGGCAGCAGCUGCUAGAGGAGCGGUUCUGGAGCAAAUGGGCAUAUUCCCCUUUCUGACCCUGCCAAAUAUAAGACCUUCAGCCUACUCCAUCCAAGGCAUCCAUCUGUCUUCAGAAGAGAUUAGAAUUUUGUUCUGAAGCCAUGCAAAGAGUAAGACCAAGUGCUAACAUCCAAUUUGCAUGUGCCGGGAGAGAAAAUUCUUCAUGGAUCUCUGGUGCUCCUACACAUCUCACUGGUUGGGGGAACUAUGGAGAACACUCAGAGACUAAGCAUCUUACCAAGCCAGAUACUAAUAAAAAUGGACUGAACUGGUGCUGAAACUCAAGACUUGUGAUUAGUAUAGCUCAGUGUUCUUUCCACUAUAGGGAUGCACUCAACUACAGCAUUAUAACUUUUGGCAGUUUAUUACACCGCAAUGAUGUAGGCUGAGGUAGUUGGGCCAGUUUUCUCUUUCAAUUGACACUUUUUUUUUUUUUGGAAAGCUGGAGGAGAGAAUGAGAUAAUAUAUUGUAAAAAGGCAUUUUGAGAUGAAAAGGAAAUAAUUUGAAGUAGUUUAUUCCACAUGACCUAGAUCAGUCCUGUAAAAUAUUAGCUAGUAGUAUCUGCUCAGAAUGACGAGAGUGUGAUUAUGUUCCCUGGGCAAUUUGAUUGUGAGUUAACAACGUAAAGAAACGAAUGACAAAAACAACCACAGAAUUCAACCAGCAUUUUUAUCCAUCUCUUCAGACUAAGGACACCCAGUGGACUCUUGAAGGCUGGUACCCCUGAAAAGCAAGACAUCAGUUUCACUGUCAGCUGGAUGCCAAAGAAGUGCAAACAAAGCAGCAUGUGCCCCAUAUAAACUGGCCCACAGUGCCGCAGAUCCUAGGAACUUGAAGGAGCCAACAGCAGUAGCAACAACAAAACAGCAUUAAGACUACAUUCCCCCUGCCAGCUCCAUUCCCAAACAUGUAUGGAAAAGCCCCUACUUCUACAAGCCCCCAGUCCCUCUGGAGAAUGCUUUCAUUUGAUUGCCUCAGUAUUGAAACUCUUCAAUAAUAGCAUCCAUCAUUGUCAGGUUUCUGGAGGUAAAACUGCUGUGUGAUGAUCAUGUUGGUUGAAAGAAGAUUGAAUUGAGACUACAGAACCCAUCUGUUGCCUUCCAGUCUCCUAGGAGGAAUUUCACGUGAUUCUACUCAUUUCCUUUGGACCUAGCUAGAUUACUACUGCUGUAUAAUAAUGGGCAACUGUUGCUUUAAAGCACAAACUUUUGAUGCUUUUUAUAAUCCCUAUUAGUGAUAGGUCCUAUAGAACAAUAAUCAGUGGAAAUUAUAUAUAUGUAUUUGGUAGGAUCUCAUAAGAAUUUACAUAGGAAAGAUUGAGUCCUUUAAUCUUACAUAGGAAAGAUUGAGUCCUUUAAUCUUUGAGUUUUAGAAAGUUGUAAUAAGUAAUUUAUCAUAAUGAUCUAUUGUCUAGAGUCUUUUGAAGGGUAAUAUAAACACUAAAUCUAUUUGUGACUUUAAAACACCUUUUGGUCCUAUCCAGAAUGACAGGCUGGUGGAGCUAGAAGUCAAGUUAGAACUGUGACAAAUGAAUUCAAGAAACCUUUCUAUCCAGACCCUAUUCUAUUUGGCAGUAAAAUUAGAAGACAUAUUAGGCAGAAAAGAAACGGUUGUUUCUAUCAAUUUAUCUAACCUCCUUCCAUUGCAAAAGAUGACAGGUAACUACUACUUUUCCACAAAUGCGUUUCCCUACUCCACUCCUGGCCCACACCAAAUUCUUGUAGAAAGGCUUGGCAUACAAAUUGUUGGUUAACAACUAGACUAUCUUUCUAGUUGUUCAGAGGGAACUGAAAAUCUUUUUGUAGAGUGUUUUAUUAGAUUUUCAUCUGGAAAAAUUCACUGUUCCAUUUUUUUAACUGCAAUGGUGAAAGAGGAAUUUUGCUGAUUCAGACCUGCUUUUUAAAGAAUUACCUUCAUUUAUUGACCCUUAGAAGGAACAUUCACUGAAUUCAAUGAUUUAUUCAACUAAGAAAAUUUCUUUAGGAUCUACCAUGUGGCAGGAACCUUGCUAGAUGCUAAGGGUAAAGGGAUGAACAAGGUAGAAAUGGCCUCUGUCCUCAGGAGCUAAACUCUAGCACACCAAAUAACAGAAUCUCCUGGAGGCAUAUCCUCUACCAUCCUCUCAGAAUAUUCACAACUAGUUCUUUCUUUCAGAAGAUGAUUAAAAAUGAAGCUUUAACUUUUCUUGGAACAAGCUGAGGUAAACAUAAAUAGAUCAAUUUAAAAUACACUAUCAUACAUAAGCAUUCUCACAUUAACAUCUUUUAAAACCUCUAAACACUUCUGUGAGAAAUAAACAUAUUUCUUGCCUUUAGUAUGAUGUUCAUGAAGCUGAAGAAGUGAUUUUAAGGACUCAGCACUCUCAAACUCAUGAGUAUUCUGGAGGAAAUCUUCAGCUUGGUCUAUUUUAAUAGCAAACUACAAUAGAAAUACAGAGGAAAGACAUUUGACAUUUGUAUAAAAAUUAACGUGCCAUUGUUAGUUACCUGGAGAUGUUUUUCAUAAAUUAGUAGCCCAACUGAGGAUGUGUGAUUAUGCAAGUGCAUAUGUUUGUAUGUGUUUGUGUGUGUUUUGGCUUACAGUGUUUGCAUGAGGGUGUGUGUUUGCAUGUGGUCAAUUUACAAAGUGUCAUUGGUAAGAACUUUCUUCUCCUUUCAUACCUAAUUAUAUAGGCUGAAAUAAACCAACCUGUUUACUGUCCAAAUGCCUAUUAAAUUUUUCAACCAAAAUUAUAGUGUCCUAUGUAUACAGUCACUUUCAACAUUCUAAGGCACUUAGUUAAGAAUAAGCAGAAAGUUAGCUAAGGGAAACCAAGAAAAGGUUAACUAAAAAGCAGUCUAUACAUUUACAAGUAAAUGUAGCUUAGGAACUCACUUAGAGAGAAGGUAGAAGUAUAGUUAUUUUUUCCCUCUAAAAUUGAACUUAGCAGUGAAAUAUGCAAGUUUCUGAAUAAUACAUAGUCUAAUCCAAUAUUUUAUACAAAGCAAAAAAAUAUAUAUUUGUAUAGAAAUUGGUCUCAAAAAAUACACACCAAAUGGUGACUUAAUGAGAAGAAAUGAAAUUAAGGAUGAGUGAGAGGAGGUAAAAUUUUAAUAUUUAAAUCUAUAAUUUGUAAUUCUGUUUGCAUUUUUAUCAAUAAUUUGUAUGCAUUACAUCUAUAAAUAAAAUGAGAUUAGAUGGAGCAAGAAUGACAAGUGAGAAAUUUAUUCCCUGUUUCAAGGAAAAUGCAUAGUAAUUUCACACUCUAAAUGGUGAGGAAUAUAACUGGUCUGUCUUUUUUCUUUUUCUCCAUAGAGGCAGUGGGAGAUUGA